UACGGAGGGUGCAAGCGUUAUCCGGAUUCACUGGGUUUAAAGGGUGCGUAGGUGGGUUGGUAAGUCAGUGGUGAAAUCUCCGAGCUUAACUUGGAAACUGCCAUUGAUACUAUCAAUCUUGAAUACUGUGGAGGUCAGCGGAAUAUGUCAUGUAGCGGUGAAAUGCUUAGAUAUGACAUAGAACACCAAUUGCGAAGGCAGCUGGCUACACGAAUAUUGACACUGAUGCACGAAAGCGUGGGGAUCAAACAGG
This 253-nucleotide ribosomal RNA is filed under the name uncultured bacterium. RNAcentral describes it as "partial 16S ribosomal RNA". It matches the Rfam family "Bacterial small subunit ribosomal RNA", at positions 524 to 776 of the family's 1533-position model. The record is from RNAcentral.